This 721-nucleotide ribosomal RNA is filed under the name uncultured bacterium. RNAcentral's name for it is "bacterial SSU rRNA". It matches the Rfam family "Bacterial small subunit ribosomal RNA", at positions 111 to 808 of the family's 1533-position model. The record is from RNAcentral.
UAACACGUAAACAACCUGCCUUCAGGAUGGGGACAACAGACGGAAACGACUGCUAAUACCGAAUAAGUUCCAAGGGCCGCAUGGCCCAUGGAAGAAAAGGUGGCCUCUACCUGUAAGCUAUCGCCUGAAGAGGGGUUUGCGUCUGAUUAGCUGGUUGGAGGGGUAACGGCCCACCAAGGCGACGAUCAGUAGCCGGUCUGAGAGGAUGAACGGCCACACUGGAACUGAGACACGGUCCAGACUCCUACGGGAGGCAGCAGUGGGGAAUCUUCCGCAAUGGGCGAAAGCCUGACGGAGCAACGCCGCGUGAGUGAUGACGGCCUUCGGGUUGUAAAACUCUGUGAUCCGGGACGAAAAGGCAGAGUGCGAAGAACAAACUGCAUUGACGGUACCGGAAAAGCAAGCCACGGCUAACUACGUGCCAGCAGCCGCGGUAAUACGUAGGUGGCAAGCGUUGUCCGGAAUUAUUGGGCGUAAAGCGCGCGCAGGCGGCUUCCCAAGUCCCUCUUAAAAGUGCGGGGCUUAACCCCGUGAUGGGAAGGAAACUGGGAAGCUGGAGUAUCGGAGAGGAAAGUGGAAUUCCUAGUGUAGCGGUGAAAUGCGUAGAGAUUAGGAAGAACACCGGUGGCGAAGGCGACUUUCUGGACGAAAACUGACGCUGAGGCGCGAAAGCGUGGGGAGCAAACAGGAUUAGAUACCCUGGUAGUCCACGCCGNAAACG